GAAGGCGCCUUGCCAACCAGGCCCAAGAGUUUUUUUAUUUUUUUUUUUAUUUUGUAGACUCGUAAUGGCGAACAAUGUGAAAUGCAAUGGCUUUAAGAACCUCGCUCCAGACGACGUUGGAAAUUGGACAGAUGAAGGUGGGUUAUUUUUUAGCCGGGACCGUCCCGCGGUGCCUCUCGAAACUGCUAUGAAAUCAUGAACGUUGGGUAUCAACCCCAAAGUUACUAGUGCUUAAACAAAGUCUCAAGCAAGACACAGAACUCUCGACAGUCUUUCAACAAGGAAUCUUCUCCACACACCAAGAAAAAA
Molecule: long non-coding RNA, 309 nt
Organism: Nanorana parkeri
Lineage: Eukaryota; Metazoa; Chordata; Amphibia; Anura; Dicroglossidae
Exons: 2
Source: RefSeq, a predicted model, not a curated record